AAUCAACGCUGGCGGCGUGCCUCAGACAUGCAAGUCGAACGCGAAAUUUCCCUUCGGGGAGAAAGUAGAGUGGCGCACGGGUGAGUAACACGUAGGUAAUUUGCCUUUGGGUGGGGAAUAACUCAGGGAAACUUGAGCUAAUACCGCAUAAUGCAGCGGCUCGACAUCGAGACAGUUGUUAAAGCGGGGGAUUGGAGCAAUCCGACCUCGCGCCUAAAGAGAAGCCUGCGGCAGAUUAGCUAGUUGGUAAGGUAAUGGCUUACCAAGGCGACGAUCUGUAACCGGCCUGAGAGGGCGGUCGGUCACACUGACACUGACAUACGGGUCAGACUCCUACGGGAGGCAGCAGUCGGGAAUUUUGGGCAAUGGGCGCAAGCCUGACCCAGCAACGCCGCGUGAAGGAUG
This 405-nucleotide ribosomal RNA is filed under the name uncultured bacterium. Its description in RNAcentral is "bacterial SSU rRNA". It matches the Rfam family "Bacterial small subunit ribosomal RNA", at positions 32 to 410 of the family's 1533-position model. The record is from RNAcentral.